RNAcentral lists this ribosomal RNA (345 nucleotides) under Streptomyces sp. IB2014 016-6. RNAcentral's name for it is "partial 23S ribosomal RNA". It matches the Rfam family "Bacterial large subunit ribosomal RNA", at positions 1 to 305 of the family's 2925-position model. The record is from RNAcentral. Lineage: Bacteria; Bacillati; Actinomycetota; Actinomycetes; Kitasatosporales; Streptomycetaceae.
ACAGUGGACGCGAGCAUCUGUGGCCAAGUUUUUAAGGGCGCACGGUGGAUGCCUUGGCACCAGGAACCGAUGAAGGACGUGGGAGGCCGCGAUAGGCCCCGGGGAGCUGUCAACCGAGCUUUGAUCCGGGGGUGUCCGAAUGGGGAAACCCGGCAGUCGUCAUGGGCUGUCACCCGCUGCUGAACACAUAGGCAGUGUGGAGGGAACGAGGGGAAGUGAAACAUCUCAGUACCCUCAGGAAGAGAAAACAACCGUGAUUCCGGGAGUAGUGGCGAGCGAAACCGGAUGAGGCCAAACCGUAUGUGUGUGAUACCCGGCAGGGGUUGCGCAUGCGGGGUUGUGGGA